Molecule: non-coding RNA, 49 nt
Filed under: Trichobilharzia regenti
Lineage: Eukaryota; Metazoa; Platyhelminthes; Trematoda; Strigeidida; Schistosomatidae
Source: RNAcentral
AUCCAGAUGACGAGCCGGUGCAAAAUAGGACGAAAUGCACAUCCUGGAU